CUACUGGCUAAUUAAGGCCUACUAACUGUAUUACUACUGGCUAAUUAAGGCCUACUAACUGUAUUAAUACUGGCUAAUUAAGGCCUACUAACUGUAUUACUACUGGCUAAUUAAGGCCUACUAACUGUAUUACUACUGGCUAAUUAAGGCCUACUAACUGUAUGACUACUGGCUAAUUAAGGCCUACUAACUGUAUUAAUACUGGCUAAUUAAGGACUAUUAACUGUAUUACUACUGGCUAAUUAAGGCCUACUAACUGUAUCCCACUGGCUCAGUAAGGCGAACUAACUGUAUGACUACUGGUUAAGUAAGGCCUACUAACUGUAUUAAUACUGGCUAAUGAAGGCCUACUAACUGUAUUAAUACUGGCUAAUGAAGGCCUACUAGCUGUAUUACUACUGGCUAAUUAAGGCCUACUAACUGUAUUAAUACUGGCUAAUUAAGGCCUACUAACUGUAUGACUACUGGCUAAUUAAGGCCUACUAACUGUAUGACUGCUGGCUAAGUAAGGACUAUUAACUGUAUUACUACUGGCUAAUUAAGGCCUACUAACUGUAUUAAUACUUGCUAAUUAAGGCCUACUAACUGUAUUACUACUGGCUAAUUAAGGCCUACUAACUGUAUUAAUACUUGCUAAUUAAGGCCUACUAACUGUAUUACUACUGGCUAAUUAAGGCCUACUAACCGUAUUACUACUGGCUAAUUAAG
Molecule: long non-coding RNA, 708 nt
Filed under: Salmo salar (Atlantic salmon)
Lineage: Eukaryota; Metazoa; Chordata; Actinopteri; Salmoniformes; Salmonidae
Description: lncRNA (ENSSSAG00000089204.1)
Source: RNAcentral